This 253-nucleotide ribosomal RNA is filed under the name uncultured bacterium. RNAcentral describes it as "partial 16S ribosomal RNA". It matches the Rfam family "Bacterial small subunit ribosomal RNA", at positions 524 to 776 of the family's 1533-position model. The record is from RNAcentral.
UACGUAGGGUGCAAGCGUUGUCCGGAAUUAUUGGGCGUAAAGGGCUCGUAGGCGGUUUGUCGCGUCGGGAGUGAAAACCUCGGGCUUAACUCGGGGCUUGCUUUCGAUACGGGCAGACUGGAGGUAUGCAGGGGAGAACGGAAUUCCUGGUGUAGCGGUGAAAUGCGCAGAUAUCAGGAGGAACACCGGUGGCGAAGGCGGUUCUCUGGGCAUGACCUGACGCUGAGGAGCGAAAGUGUGGGGAGCGAACAGG